UACAGAGGUCCCAAGCGUUUGUUCGGAUUCACUGGGCGUAAAGCGUGCGCAGGCGGUUUUGUAAGUCUGUCGUGAAAUCCCCGGGCUCAACCUGGGAAUUGCGAUGGAGACUGCAAGGCUAGAAUCUGGCAGAGGGGGGUAGAAUUCCACGUGUAGCAGUGAAAUGCGUAGAGAUGUGGAGGAACACCGAUGGCGAAGGCAGCCCCCUGGGUCAAGAUUGACGCUCAUGCACGAAAGCGUGGGGAGCAAACAGG
RNAcentral lists this ribosomal RNA (254 nucleotides) under uncultured bacterium. RNAcentral's name for it is "partial 16S ribosomal RNA". It matches the Rfam family "Bacterial small subunit ribosomal RNA", at positions 524 to 776 of the family's 1533-position model. The record is from RNAcentral.